RNAcentral lists this long non-coding RNA (505 nucleotides) under Marmota monax (woodchuck). The record is from RNAcentral. Lineage: Eukaryota; Metazoa; Chordata; Mammalia; Rodentia; Sciuridae.
GUUUAAUCAAAAUGGUUUUCUAUUCCUUCAGGUUUCAUACCAUUUUUCAAGGCAUUCUUUAUUUAAUUACAAGCUUUAUUGACAUAUAAUUAAAUAUGGUUAGCUUGGGUUUCCCCUUUACUUAUUCAGCAACAUCUGUUGUAAAGUGGUCUAAAUAAAACUUUUUGUUAUGAUAGAGAAGUUCCAUAUCUGUGUGUCCAGUUCAGUAAUUAUUAGUCUCGUGUGGCUGUGGGCACUUGAAAUAUGACUAGGCUAGUAUGACUCAGGAACUGAAUUUUUAAUUUUAUUUAAUUUUAAUACUUUAAGUAGCUGUAUGUGGCUAAUGACUAUUAAUUUGGACUGACCAGACCUGUAGUUUUAAGUUCUACCAUUAUUUAGUUAGGAUGCCUUUUUUUGGUUUUGUUUGUUUAUAAAGAUAGGAAUGCUGACUAUUUGUUUCCUCUCACCAAAAUAGUUUGAAAAGUCUUUAUUUUUUUGUUUUAAGUGACUGUGUCACAGAAUUUGA